AUGAUCCAGUGAGCACUACAUACAAAUAAGCCAAAGCUAACAAAGAUAGCAGUGCAUUUAACGUCAUGUAAACUGGAAUGUUAUUGCAAAUUCUUGCUUUUUCCAGUGUACGGUAAUGGUUUUAUGGAUAAAUAUAUUGACAUGAACCUUUACUCCAUCAUGCGUUCAUUUUUAACACACCUGCGUGUCUAGUUAAAAUGGGCAAUUUUGUGUUGCUUUUAACAUCCUCAGUGUGUUAGAACAUUUAACACAUGCUGUAUGUUAAACAUUUCCACACAAAGAUGUGUUAAAAAAGAACAAAAAUAACACAGAUGUGUUGUAUGCUAAGGAGAUGCAUGCUAAAGUAAUGUUAUUGACUCAGGUGAGAGUCUAGCUUAGCAUCACUCAUCCCUACUGGUGACAGCAUCCAGCUAGAUAAGCCGAACUCAGAGCCUCAGAUAAGAUGCAGACCAGAGAGAAUUAUAGAAUAACCCCAGUCCAGAUUUCACAGCCAACAGAAAAACAUGACACUGGAAGUUUAACGCCGACACUGAGGAAGCAGUACAUGAUAUUCACUUUUGAAGCCGUCAUGAUUCCUGUGAAAAUGACCCAACCAUUAACCCACACAAAACUACUCAAAAACUACCCCAGACUGAGAAAAUAACCCAAAAAGGCUUAACCCUAGGUUUGGGUAGAAAAAAUAACCCAACAUUAUAUAUAUAAAUUUACAAAAAGUGGUUAUUUCCCCAAAUGUAUGGAGACUUUUAGGACACCUGUACAGUGCAGUUUAGCUUUCAAUCUAUAAACCUGUGAAAACCUUUAAGUUGUUGUGUUUUCAUAGAAAAAAUCUAGUUGCUUGAGAUAAACAGCUUCAACUAGAACCUCCAAACCAUUAUCUCAUAAUAAUAAUAAUAAUCCCAACAUGAUUAUAAUUAAUCAUCUUUCUGAGAUUAGCUUAGAGUAAAAACUGCAACUUCCUCGUCAUUACCAUUUUAUUUGAACAGACAGCAAUAUUUUUAUUUAUUACCUCCCUGUCCCCACACUUGCCAGUUUGAAUGACAGAUAGGCAAGAUUCUCAAACUGCUCCUAAAAACCAGGAACAUUCUGGUCUUACAGUUCAGGCAGCUCUCCAAUGCAUUCUGACAAGCAUAAACCAGGCUGAAGGAGCUGGAGAAGAACUAAGAGCUUUAGAGUAUGUGUGUGGGGUCUACCAGGAAUCAUACAUACCGUUCCUUGUAUUUGCGAGGUCUGCACCUUAAAUCCGGCACACUGUUGAUUUCCCAUGUGUAUCCAGUGUUCCCACUUUUAUUGUUAUGGCCUAUUAAAUUUCAUGAUGGGCCAGCCAAGUUGGGGAUAGCAUCUGUUCAGUCCACCGUCCCAGAUCGUUACUUUCACCAAGCAAGGUGGCAGCUUUUCUGUGCAGCUGAAUACAAUUGCUGAAAAGGAUCUGGACACACUUGAUGGAUCUCACCUGCAUACUGUACCUGGAUUCGUACCCAAGACCUGAUGCUGUAAUCAUAACGACUGUUAUACUGAAGAUCUAUUCAACACACUCACUGUUUUGACUGCAAGUAUACAGUUGUAGAAGAGUAAUGAUUUAUAAUACCACUAGCCAGUGACAUCUAUAAGCGAAUGGGUUGUCUUUUGAGUCUGUUUCCUCUCAAGGUUUCUUCCUCAAGGGAGUUUUCCAUGUCACUGUCACCUCAACAGGGAUAUAGAUUUCUCUAAAGCUGCUUUCAUGUCUAUUUUUCGAAGAGCUAUAUGAAUUAAAAUUGAUUUGAAUUGAACGUUUUUUGUAUUUACUAGCACUACUGAGCCAUGUGUAGGCUAACCAACCAUACAGUGAGCAUGUAGCAGAGAACUUGUACAUUUGAACUCACAGAGAUUUGCAUUCUGGGAUGAUAUUUCAGUGACUUCAAUAAUACAUAGUUAAAACAAGCCAUGCAUACCCUAUGCUAUAGAUUAUCAUGACAUGAGAGUAUAUUAGAGAGGUUAACUGUGGGUUGUGAG
Ictalurus punctatus (channel catfish) is the source of this 1989-nucleotide long non-coding RNA. The record is from Ensembl. NCBI's taxonomy places the organism in Eukaryota, Metazoa, Chordata, Actinopteri, Siluriformes, Ictaluridae.